RNAcentral lists this ribosomal RNA (914 nucleotides) under Neocotylidia fibrae. RNAcentral describes it as "Cotylidia fibrae partial large subunit ribosomal RNA". It matches the Rfam family "Eukaryotic large subunit ribosomal RNA", at positions 47 to 952 of the family's 3401-position model. The record is from RNAcentral. Lineage: Eukaryota; Fungi; Basidiomycota; Agaricomycetes; Hymenochaetales.
GAACUGAAGGUAGAACUAACAGGAUUCCCCUAGUAACUGCGAGUGAAGCGGGAAAAGCUCAAAUUUAAAAUCUGGCAGCCUCGCUGUCCGAGUUGUAAUCUGGAGAAGCAUUUUCCGUGCUGGACCGUGUACAAGUCUCUUGGAACAGAGCGUCAUAGAGGGUGAGAAUCCCGUCUUUGGCACGGACUACCAGUGCUUUGUGAUAUGCUCUCAAAGAGUCGAGUUGUUUGGGAAUGCAGCUCAAAAUGGGUGGUAAAUUCCAUCUAAAGCUAAAUAUUGGCGAGAGACCGAUAGCGAACAAGUACCGUGAGGGAAAGAUGAAAAGCACUUUGGAAAGAGAGUUAAACAGUACGUGAAAUUGUUGAAAGGGAAACGCUUGAAGUCAGUCGCGUUGUCCGGGACUCAGCCUUGCUUCUGCUUGGUGUACUUCCUGGUUGACGGGCCAACAUCAAUUUUGACCGGUGGAUAAAGGCAGAGGGAAUGUGGCACCUCCGGGUGUGUUAUAGCCCUUUGUCACAUGCAUCGGUUGGGAUUGAGGACCGCAGCACGCCUUUUGGCCGGGGUUCGCCCACGUACCGUGCUUAGGAUGUUGGCAUAAUGGCUUUAAUCGACCCGUCUUGAAACACGGACCAAGGAGUCUAACAUGCCCGCAAGUGUUAGGGUGGUAAACCCUUGCGCGUAAUGAAAGUGAAAGUUGGGACCUCUGUCAUGGAGGGCACCGACGCCCGGCCUGAAACUUCUGUGACGGAGCCGCGGUAGAGCGUGUAUGUUGGGACCCGAAAGAUGGUGAACUAUGCCUGAAUAGGGCGAAGCCAGAGGAAACUCUGGUGGAGGCUCGUAGCGAUUCUGACGUGCAAAUCGAUCGUCAAAUUUGGGUAUAGGGGCGAAAGACUAAUCGAACCAUCCAAAAGCCC